AUUGAACGCUGGCGGCAUGCUUUACACAUGCAAGUCGAACGGUAGCAGUAGAAAGCUUGCUUUCUAGCUGACGAGUGGCGAACGGGUGAGUAAUACAUCGGAACGUACCAAGUAAUGGGGGAUAACUACUCGAAAGAGUGGCUAAUACCGCAUACGCCCUUUGGGGGAAAGCAGGGGAUCUUAGGACCUUGCGUUAUUUGAGCGGCCGAUGUCUGAUUAGCUAGUUGGUGGGGUAAGAGCCCACCAAGGCGACGAUCAGUAGCGGGUCUGAGAGGAUGAUCCGCCACACUGGGACUGAGACACGGCCCAGACUCCUACGGGAGGCAGCAGUGGGGAAUUUUGGACAAUGGGCGAAAGCCUGAUCCAGCCAUGCCGCGUGUAUGAAGAAGGCCUUCGGGUUGUAAAGUACUUUUGUUAGGGAAGAAAAGCUUGUUGCUAAUAUCAUCAAGCCAUGACGGUACCUAAAGAAUAAGCACCGGCUAACUACGUG
RNAcentral lists this ribosomal RNA (490 nucleotides) under uncultured organism. Its description in RNAcentral is "bacterial SSU rRNA". It matches the Rfam family "Bacterial small subunit ribosomal RNA", at positions 30 to 507 of the family's 1533-position model. The record is from RNAcentral.